GACGAACGCUGGCGGCGUGCCUAAUGCAUGCAAGUCGCACGGGGAGCUUCGGCUCCCAGUGGCGCACGGCUGAGGAACACGUGGGAAUGUGCCCCUUGGUGGGGGAUAACGCCGCGAAAGCGGCGCUAAUCCCGCAUACGCUCGCAAGAGGAAAGCGGUAACGCGCCGAGGGAGCAGCCUGCGGCCCAUCAGGUAGUUGGUGGGGUAAUGGCCUACCAAGCCACUGACGGGUAGCUGGUCUGAGAGGACAGACAGCCAGACUGGGACUGAGACACGGCCCAGACUCCUACGGGAGGCAGCAGCAAGGAAUUUUCGUCAAUGGGCGCAAGCCUGAACGAGCAACGCCGCGUGGUGGAUGACGGCCUUCGGGUUGUAAACACCUUUUGGGGGGGACGAUAAUGACGGUACCCCUUGAAUAAGCCCCGGCUAACUCUGUGCCAGCAGCCGCGGUAAGACAGAGGGGGCAAGCGUUGUCCGGAAUUACUGGGCGUACAGGGCACGCAGGUGGCUGCAUAGGUGGCGUGUGAAAGCCCCGCGCUUAACGCGGGGAGGCCACGCCAAACGGUGCGGCUCGAGCGAUGCAGAGGGUGGUGGAAUUGCCGGUGUAGUGGUGAAAUGCGUAGAGAUCGGCAGGAACACCAAGGACGAAGGUAACCACCUGGGCAUCAGCUGACACUCAUGUGCGACAGCGUGGGGAGCGAACCGGAUUAGAUACCCGGGUAGUCCACGCCGUAAACGAUGGAUGCUCGGCGUUUGGGGGGGUAAGUCUCCCUGGGCGCCCAAGCUGACGCGCAAGCAUCCCGCCUGGGAACUACGAGCGCAAGCUUAAAACUCAAAAGGAAUUGACGGGGGCCCGCACAAGCAGCGGAGCGUGUGGUUUAAUUCGACGCAACACGAAGCACCUUACCCAGACUGGACAUGCUACUGCAAGGUGGUGAAAGCCACUCGCCUUCGAGGGUGUAGCACAGAUGCUGCAUGGCUGUCGUCAGCUCGUGUCGUGAGAUGUCGGGUUCAGUCCCGCAACGAGCGCAACCCCUGCGGUCAGUUACCUGUGUCUGACCGGACUGCCCUUCGGGGAGGAAGGCGGGGAUGACGUCAAGUCCGCAUGGCUCUUACGUCUGGGGCAACACACACGCUACAAUGGCCGACGCAGAGCGUCGCGACCCGGCAACGGGCAGCAAAUCGCAAAUGUCGGUCUCAGUGCAGAUCGGGGGCUGCAACUCGCCCCCGUGAAGGCGGAGUUGCUAGUAACCGCGUAUCAGCGAUGGCGCGGUGAAUACGUACCCGGGCCUUGUACACACCGCCCGUCACGUCAUGGGAGUUGUCAAUGCCUGAAGUCCGUGGGCCAACCCGCAAGGGAGGCAGCGGCCGAGGGCAGGGGCAGCGACUGGGACG
This 1395-nucleotide ribosomal RNA is filed under the name uncultured Chloroflexota bacterium. Its description in RNAcentral is "bacterial SSU rRNA". It matches the Rfam family "Bacterial small subunit ribosomal RNA". The record is from RNAcentral. Lineage: Bacteria; Bacillati; Chloroflexota.